This 254-nucleotide ribosomal RNA is filed under the name uncultured bacterium. RNAcentral's name for it is "partial 16S ribosomal RNA". It matches the Rfam family "Bacterial small subunit ribosomal RNA", at positions 524 to 776 of the family's 1533-position model. The record is from RNAcentral.
UACGUAGGGUGCAAGCGUUGUCCGGAAUUAUUGGGCGUAAAGAGCUCGUAGGCGGUCUGUCGCGUCGGCUGUGAAAACUUGGGGCUUAACCCUGAGCUUGCGGUCGAUACGGGCAUGACUGGAGUUCGGCAGGGGAGACUGGAAUUCCUGGUGUAGCGGUGAAAUGCGCAGAUAUCAGGAGGAACACCGGUGGCGAAGGCGGGUCUCUGGGCCGAUACUGACGCUGAGGAGCGAAAGCGUGGGGAGCGAACAGG